RNAcentral lists this transfer RNA (74 nucleotides) under Beauveria bassiana. Its description in RNAcentral is "tRNA-Val". It matches the Rfam family "tRNA". Rfam says of the family: Transfer RNA (tRNA) molecules are approximately 80 nucleotides in length. Lineage: Eukaryota; Fungi; Ascomycota; Sordariomycetes; Hypocreales; Cordycipitaceae. The record is from RNAcentral.
GAGGAAUUAGUUCAAUUGGUAGAGCAUUUGUUUUACACACAAAAAGUUUGUAGGUUCGAAUCCUGCAUUCCUUA